RNAcentral lists this transfer RNA (75 nucleotides) under Burkholderiales bacterium 1_1_47. RNAcentral's name for it is "tRNA-Val". It matches the Rfam family "tRNA". Rfam says of the family: Transfer RNA (tRNA) molecules are approximately 80 nucleotides in length. RNAcentral also lists the same sequence under 11 other names. Lineage: Bacteria; Pseudomonadati; Pseudomonadota; Betaproteobacteria; Burkholderiales. The record is from RNAcentral.
GCACGGUUAGCUCAGGGGUAGAGCACUGCCUUCACACGGCAGGGGUCACUGGUUCGAAACCAGUAUCGUGCACCA